GACGAACGCUGGCGGCGUGCUUAACACAUGCAAGUCGAACGGAAAGGCCCUGCUUGCAGGGUACUCGAGUGGCGAACGGGUGAGUAACACGUGGGUGAUCUGCCCUGCACUUCGGGAUAAGCUUUGGAAACUGGGUCUAAUACCGGAUAGGAGCCAUCUUUAGUGUGGUGGUUGGAAAGUUUUUUCGGUGUAGGAUGAGCUCGCGGCCUAUCAGCUUGUUGGUGGGGUAAUGGCCUACCAAGGCGGCGACGGGUAGCCGGCCUGAGAGGGUGUACGGCCACAUUGGGACUGAGAUACGGCCCAGACUCCUACGGGAGGCAGCAGUGGGGAAUAUUGCACAAUGGGCGCAAGCCUGAUGCAGCGACGCCGCGUGGGGGAUGAAGGCCUUCGGGUUGUAAACUCCUUUCGCUAGGGACGAAGCUUUUUGUGACGGUACCUAGAUAAGAAGCACCGGCUAACUACGUG
This 465-nucleotide ribosomal RNA is filed under the name uncultured bacterium. RNAcentral's name for it is "partial 16S ribosomal RNA". It matches the Rfam family "Bacterial small subunit ribosomal RNA", at positions 28 to 507 of the family's 1533-position model. The record is from RNAcentral.